RNAcentral lists this ribosomal RNA (452 nucleotides) under uncultured bacterium. Its description in RNAcentral is "bacterial SSU rRNA". It matches the Rfam family "Bacterial small subunit ribosomal RNA", at positions 328 to 794 of the family's 1533-position model. The record is from RNAcentral.
GUGCCAGACUCCUACGGGAGGCAGCAGUGGGGAAUAUUGCACAAUGGGCGCAAGCCUGAUGCAGCAACGCCGCGUGAGCGAAGAAGGUCUUCGGAUCGUAAAGCUCUGUCCUUGAGGAAGAAGGAAGUGACCGUACUCAAGGAGGAAGCCCCGGCUAACUACGUGCCAGCAGCCGCGGUAAUACGUAGGGGGCAAGCGUUAUCCGGAAUUAUUGGGCGUAAAGAGUACGUAGGUGGGCGCUUAAGUCAGGUGUGAAAACUCCGGGCUCAACCUGGAGACUGCACUUGAAACUGGGUGUCUUGAGGGCAGGAGAGGAAAGUGGAAUUCCUAGUGUAGCGGUGAAAUGCGUAGAUAUUAGGAGGAACACCAGUGGCGAAGGCGACUUUCUGGACUGUACCUGACGCUGAGGCGCGAAAGCGUGGGUAGCGAACGGGAUUAGAUACCCCCGUAAA